Molecule: ribosomal RNA, 492 nt
Filed under: uncultured bacterium
Lineage: Bacteria
Description: partial 16S ribosomal RNA
Rfam family: Bacterial small subunit ribosomal RNA
Source: RNAcentral
AGUGAACGCUGGCGGUAGGCCUAACACAUGCAAGUCGAACGGCAGCACAGUAAGAGCUUGCUCUUACGGGUGGCGAGUGGCGGACGGGUGAGGAAUGCAUCGGAAUCUACUUUUUCGUGGGGGAUAACGUAGGGAAACUUACGCUAAUACCGCAUACGACCUACGGGUGAAAGCAGGGGAUCUUCGGACCUUGCGCGAUUGAAUGAGCCGAUGUCGGAUUAGCUAGUUGGCGGGGUAAAGGCCCACCAAGGCGACGAUCCGUAGCUGGUCUGAGAGGAUGAUCAGCCGCACUGGAACUGAGACACGGUCCAGACUCCUACGGGAGGCAGCAGUGGGGAAUAUUGGACAAUGGGCGCAAGCCUGAUCCAGCCAUACCGCGUGGGUGAAGAAGGCCUUCGGGUUGUAAAGCCCUUUUGUUGGGAAAGAAAGGCAGCAGGUUAAUACCCCGCUGUUCUGACGGUACCCAAAGAAUAAGCACCGGCUAACUUCGUG